Molecule: non-coding RNA, 2452 nt
Organism: Triticum urartu
Lineage: Eukaryota; Viridiplantae; Streptophyta; Magnoliopsida; Poales; Poaceae
Source: RefSeq, a predicted model, not a curated record
AUUAAUGGAAGCGUGUGGGGCCUCGGCCGAAAGGGACUCCCCUCCCUCCCUCCCCCGGCGCCACCCGCGCGGCGCCGGGGAGGGCUCCAGAUCCCCGCCGCCACACCCCCUCCUCCUCCCUCCUCCUCCCUCGCCGCCGCCAAGGGGCGCGGCCGGGCGAAGCCCGGGCGUCGCCGGCGGCGGCGGGGCUCCUUCGGCCCCCGCCUCGUGGGGUAUGGCGCGGGCCAGAUCUUGCGGCUGGGCGCGUGCUCGGUGCCGGGCGUGGCGGCGCGGCGGCGCCCCGGAGCAGGUCGGCGAUGGCGGCGUUCGACGGGUGGCGGGCGGCAUGGUGGUGGUGCGGGCCGGUGGUGGAGUCGGCGGCGGUGCUUCCGGCAGCGCUUCGGCGUCGCCUCCGGCGGCACGGGUCGCGGUUGACCGGGUCACGGGAGGCCCUCUCACCAUGGUGCUCUGGUGAGGGGGCGGCGCGGCAGCGGAGGUGGUGGGUUGCUCCCACCUAGUCGGGCCCUCGCGGCUAGGUGGCGGUGCUCGGCUCGGGUGGAUCCCCUGGUGGUGUCUUCAGGCGGCGACGGCGAUGGCUCCGCAACCCUCCCUCUCCGGCUUCUGGCGACGGCUGAUGCCCCCUGAUGCUCCGGGCCUUCGAAGCGGGGGCGGAACACGGUUCCGGGGGGAAGUUGGAGACAGGGUGUCGAUCGUGGCCAUGUGCCACUUCUCCGCCUUCCCCUUCCCCCGAUCGAGGUGGUCGCGGCCCUUCUCGAGGCAGCUUGGCCGGCGGCGGUUCUGUAGGUGGUCGGGGUUGUGGAUCUUGACAAAGGCGUGGCCUUUGGGGGCUUCAGGGCGGUCUCAUGGCGGGGCGGCGGCCCUGGCGGUGGGAGUCGCGUUGGUUGUGGGCGGAUCGCAUGACUCGGAUGCGGGCAGGCAACCAUGGCCGCUCGGGCGGCAUGGUUGUGGGCAUUGGCGGACCGGGGUGGCGACGAGGGAGUUGAAGCACCGGGGUUCAUCACCUACCCAGUCCCGUUCUGGUCGACGGUGACGGCGUCCGUGGACGUCGUGUUCCUCCUUGCAGGCUCCGUUGUGGUGCUUCUUCUCCCUCCAUCUUACCCCGGGUGAAAACUUGAUCUUCGGAUCAGACGGUGGCGACGGUCUUGGUCGUGCCCUUCCUGGAGGCCCCGUCUUGGAGUCCUCGGUCCGGCGUGUCCGUCGCGCAUCCUCCCGGACGAUCGCUCCUUGGUGGUGGUCUCGGUCGACUCUUAGCGGAUCCUUUUUUUGCUUAUCUUUUAGAUGCUUUGUGUCGUUGAGGUUGUGCGUCGGUGCCCGGCAUUCAUGUAUCUUGCCUUGGGUUUGUGUGGCGUGUGUUUGUAUCGGAUGCUUGUUGUUGUGGUUGUGGUUGUGCUUUAUAAUAUAAAGCGGGGGAAACCCUUUUUCGUAUUAAUGGAAGCGUGUGCAUUCAUCCAAAGAAUUCACAGAACAAAUCUUCCGUUUGGCGACUGCAGAGUGCAGAGGACGAAAUCUUUUACCUGAUUAAUUGUUUUAUUUUUGUACUGUGAUAUAAAGAAGGAAUGUGCAUCGUAGGGGAUUUGCUACGUGCUACAUAUGUCUUAUUCACUGGCAGUCAGUCAGCUUAUAUUCCAGUGCUGAGAAAUGGCACAAUCAUCUCAUGCCAUUUCGUGGGAGCAGUAGAAGAAGCAUAGAUGCAAUGGUGUGAAGCAGAACACUAAUCAGUUCAAUAAGUAUGCACUUCCCAAGUUCCUUAUGCAAAUGAAAUGGCACACUUUUUCUUAUGCCCUCAUAUAGUGUGGAUUGAAGAUUACAGAGUGAACGAUAGCAUGAUAUAACUCAAGUUCAUUGUAGUUGUAAAAAAUUCGUACGGGAGCAAGUAUUGUGAUCACAAUUACAGACAAGAUUCCUAAGUGCUUGACAAUACCUACGACUUCGAAUAAAUUUGUCCUAUGGGUGACAUGAACAUCUGUGGCAAGAACGGCGAUGUGAUGCUCAUGGGAGUUGAGGUCAAGGAAGUGAAUACACCGAUGAUGCAUCCAUAGAUGUAUAAAUUGUUCUUGCAUGAGCAUAUUGUGGUAACUACGGGGAGGAGAUAAAGAGCAUCAACAACCUCUUGACCGGGGUCUUUGUCGCCACAACGAACAACAACAGUUAUUACCAGCUUGUGAGGUAGCUGUUGGGGCGUUGGAACCUUCUUGAGAAGAAGAACAAACUGGUGAUCGAGUUGUUCAACGAGGACGACAGGAGCGGCCCUGGCAAGGAGCAAAAGAAGGCAGAGUUCGGCUCCACUGGCUGCCAACUCCGACAGUGGGAGGAGGAGAAGGAAAAAAGGAGUAAUUUAAUGGUGAAAGAAACUUGAAAGCUUGUUCUAACUAUUAAAUUAUAUGUGCCCCCGUUGCAACACACAUUGGAUUAGUACACUGUCAUAAUUUCAGAAAAUUUGCAGAAGCAGCGA